RNAcentral lists this ribosomal RNA (1209 nucleotides) under Barytelphusa cunicularis. Its description in RNAcentral is "partial 16S ribosomal RNA". The record is from RNAcentral. Lineage: Eukaryota; Metazoa; Arthropoda; Malacostraca; Decapoda; Gecarcinucidae.
AAAUAAUAUAUCUUAUUAGUUAAUUAAUGUAUAUGGAAUUUGUAUGAAAAAUAAUUUAUUUUUUAGUAAUUUUUAAUGAAAUUUGAAAAUUAAUUAUAGUUAAAGAGUACUGUAAGGGAAAGAGAAGUUUAAAGAAAGAAAGGUAAAAGUAGUAAUUGAUUUAUGUACCUUGGGUAUCAGGGAAAAUUAAUAUAAAUAUUAGAGACACUAAAGAUCUCGGAAUAAAAAUAGCUAAUUCUGUAGGAAAGUUUUUGUGGCAUAAAGAUUAUGAAUAUGGGGUUGAAGAUGAAAUGUUAAACGAGUUUUAUGAUAUCUAGUUUUCUGAGAAGUAAAUAUAAUUUAGUUUUUAUAGGAAUAUAAUAUAAGAUUAAAAAAUAGGAGGGAUGAGCUUCUUAUUAUAGGAUUUUAAAUAGUUGUAUAAUUAAAUAGACGAUAGUUAAUUUAAGUUUAAAAGUAGCUAUGUUUAUAAAGUGUUAUAACUAAAAUUAUUGUUAAUAAAUAAUAUACAACUUUAAAAAGUAUCGGAAAAUUAUUUAAAAUAUUGGAGUAUGAGAUAAAAUGAUUUUAUUAGUAGAGUUUAAAAUUAAGUAGAAAAAUUAAAUUAGGAAGAAAAUUUUAAAAGUAGAAAGAUAAUUUAAAGGAAUUCGGCAAAAAUAUUUCUUUGCCUGUUUAUCAAAAACAUGUCUGUUUGGAGAUAUAAAAAGUCUGGCCUGCCCACUGAUUGGAUAAAAGUUUUUAAGGGCCGCGGUAUUAUGACCGUGCAAAGGUAGCAUAAUCAUUAGAUUUUUAAAUGGAAUCUUGUAUGAAUGGUCGAACAAAAGAAAAACUGUCUUUAAAAUAAUAUUUGAAUUUAACUUUUAAGUGAGAAGGCUUAAAUAUAUUAGGGGGACGAUAAGACCCUAUAAAGCUUUAUAUUAUGGUUGAAUUUAAUUGAAUUUUAAUAAUAAGAAUUUAGUUUAAUUGUUUUAUUAUGUUGGGGCGACAAAAGUAAAAUUUGUAAUAACUGCUAGUAAAGAUGACAAUUAUAAGUGGGUUAACGAGGUAAAAGAUCCUAUGUUUAGAUUAUAAGAUUAAGUUACUUUAGGGAUAACAGUGUAAUUUUUUUUGAGAGUUCAUAUCGAAAAAAAAGUUUGCAACCUCGAUGUUGAAUUAAGAUAUCUGUAUAAUGUAGAUGUUAUANAAGNNGGUCUGUUCGACCUUUAAAUUUUU